GAUGAACGCUGGCGGCGUGCCUAAUACAUGCAAGUAGAACGCUGAAGGAGGAGCUUGCUCUUCUGGAUGAGUUGCGAACGGGUGAGUAACGCGUAGGUAACCUGCCUGGUAGCGGGGGAUAACUAUUGGAAACGAUAGCUAAUACCGCAUGACAACAGUUAUUGCAUGAUAACUGUUUAAAAGGGGCAACUGCUCCACUACCAGAUGGACCUGCGUUGUAUUAGCUAGUUGGUGAGGUAACGGCUCACCAAGGCGACGAUACAUAGCCGACCUGAGAGGGUGAUCGGCCACACUGGGACUGAGACACGGCCCAGACUCCUACGGGAGGCAGCAGUAGGGAAUCUUCGGCAAUGGACGGAAGUCUGACGAGCAACGCCGCGUGAGUGAAGAAGGUUUUCGGAUCGUAAAGCUCUGUUGUAAGAGAAGAACGAGUGUGAGAGUGGAAAGUUCACACUGUGACGGUAUCUUACCAGAAAGGGACGGCUAACUACGUG
This 494-nucleotide ribosomal RNA is filed under the name uncultured bacterium. RNAcentral describes it as "partial 16S ribosomal RNA". It matches the Rfam family "Bacterial small subunit ribosomal RNA", at positions 28 to 507 of the family's 1533-position model. The record is from RNAcentral.